This 1479-nucleotide ribosomal RNA is filed under the name metagenome. RNAcentral describes it as "bacterial LSU rRNA". It matches the Rfam family "Bacterial large subunit ribosomal RNA", at positions 1457 to 2925 of the family's 2925-position model. The record is from RNAcentral.
UUAAGCAAUGGAGAGGCGCAGGAAGGUAGCCGAACCGCGGCGAUGGUUGUUCCGCGGGUAAGGGUGUAGGGCGAGGUGUAGGCAAAUCCGCACCUCAUGUGCCUGAGACCUGACACGGACCCGUAAGGGGAAGUCGGUGAUCCUAUGCUGCCAAGAAAAUCUUCUAGCGAGGUUCUAGCCGCCCGUACCCCAAACCGACUCAGGUGGUUAGGUAGAGAAUACCAAGGCGAUCGAGUGAAUCGUGGUUAAGGAAUUCGGCAAAAUACCCCCGUAACUUCGGGAGAAGGGGGGCCCAGAGGGUGACGGGACUUGCUCCCCGAGCCUGAACGGCCGCAGAGACCAGGGAGAAGCGACUGUUUACUAAAAACACAGGUCCGUGCCAAGUCGCAAGACGAUGUAUACGGACUGACGCCUGCCCGGUGCUGGAACGUUAAGGGGACCGGUUAGCCUCACGGCGAAGCUGAGAACUUAAGCGCCAGUAAACGGCGGUGGUAACUAUAACCAUCCUAAGGUAGCGAAAUUCCUUGUCGGGUAAGUUCCGACCUGCACGAAUGGCGUAACGACUUCUCCACUGUCUCAACCACGAACUCGGCGAAAUUGCACUACGAGUAAAGAUGCUCGUUACGCGCAUAAGGACGGAAAGACCCCGGGACCUUUACUACAGCUUGGUAUUGGUGUUCGGUACGGCUUGUGUAGGAUAGGUGGGAGACUGUGAAGCUGACACGCCAGUGUCGGUGGAGUCAACGUUGAAAUACCACUCUGGUCGUUCUGGAUAUCUAACCUAGGUCCGUAAUCCGGAUCAGGGACAGUGCCUGGUGGGUAGUUUAACUGGGGCGGUUGCCUCCUAAAAGGUAACGGAGGCGCCCAAAGGUUCCCUCAGCCUGGUUGGCAAUCAGGUUUCGAGUGUAAGUGCACAAGGGAGCUUGACUGUGAGACUGACAAGUCGAACAGGGACGAAAGUCGGGACUAGUGAUCCGGCGGUGGCUUGUGGAAGCGCCGUCGCUCAACGGAUAAAAGGUACCCCGGGGAUAACAGGCUGAUCUUGCCCAAGAGUCCAUAUCGACGGCAUGGUUUGGCACCUCGAUGUCGGCUCGUCGCGUCCUGGGGCUGGAGUAGGUCCCAAGGGUUGGGCUGUUCGCCCAUUAAAGCGGUACGCGAGCUGGGUUUAGAACGUCGUGAGACAGUUCGGUCCCUAUCCUCUGCGCGCGCAGGAAACUUGAGAAGGGCUGUCCCUAGUACGAGAGGACCGGGAUGGACGAACCUCUGGUGUGUCAGUUGUUCUGCCAAGAGCACCGCUGAUUAGCUACGUUCGGGAGUGAUAACCGCUGAAAGCAUCUAAGCGGGAAGCAUGCUUCAAGAUGAGGUUUCCAUGGGGUUUACCCCGAGAGGCUCCCAGCUAGACUACUGGGUUGAUAGGCCGGAUGUGGAAGUGCGGUAACGCAUGGAGCUGACCGGUACUAAUAAGCCGAUAACUUGACC